Molecule: ribosomal RNA, 253 nt
Filed under: uncultured bacterium
Lineage: Bacteria
Description: partial 16S ribosomal RNA
Rfam family: Bacterial small subunit ribosomal RNA
Source: RNAcentral
UACAGAGGUCCCGAGCGUUGUUCGGAUUCACUGGGCGUAAAGGGUGCGUAGGUGGUAGGGUAAGUCGGAUGUGAAAUCUCGGAGCUCAACUCCGAAACGGCAUUGGAAACUACCCAACUUGAGGGUCGGAGGGGGGACUGGAAUUCUCGGUGUAGCAGUGAAAUGCGUAGAUAUCGAGAGGAACACCAGUGGCGAAGGCGAGUCCCUGGACGACUCCUGACACUGAGGCACGAAAGCUAGGGGAGCAAACAGG